This 1239-nucleotide long non-coding RNA is filed under the name Oncorhynchus mykiss (rainbow trout). RNAcentral's name for it is "lncRNA (ENSOMYG00000064600.1)". Lineage: Eukaryota; Metazoa; Chordata; Actinopteri; Salmoniformes; Salmonidae. The record is from RNAcentral.
CUACUCCCCAGGCAGAGUUACCUUCUCCCCAGACUACUCCCCAGCCAGAGUUACCUUCUCCCCAGACUACUCCCCAGCCAGAGUUACCUUCUCCCCAGACUACUCCCCAGCCAGUUACCUUCUCCCCAGACUACUCCCCAGCCAGAGUUACCUUCUCCCCAGACUACUCCCCAGCCAGAGUUACCUUCUCCCCAGACUACUCCCCAGCCAGAGUUACCUUCUCCCCAGACUACUCCCCAGCCAGAGUUACCUUCUCCCCAGACUACUCCCCAGCCAGAGUUACCUUCUCCCCAGACUACUCCCCAGCCAGAGUUACCUUCUCCCCAGACUACUCCCCAGGCAGAGUUACCUUCUCCCCAGACUACUCCCCAGCCAGAGUUACCUUCUCCCCAGACUACUCCCCAGCCAGAGUUACCUUCUCCCCAGACUACUCCCCAGCCAGUUACCUUCUCCCCAGACUACUCCCCAGCCAGAGUUACCUUCUCCCCAGACUACUCCCCAGCCAGAGUUACCUUCUCCCCAGACUACUCCCCAGCCAGAGUUACCUUCUCCCCAGACUACUCCCCAGCCAGAGUUACCAUCUCCCCAGACUACUACCCAGCCAGAGUUAGCUUCUCCCCAGCGAGUUACCUUCACCCCAGAUUACUCCCCAGCCAGAGUUACCUUCUCCCCAGACUACUCCCCAGCCAGAGUUACCUUCUCCCCAGACUACUCCCCAGGCAGAGUUACCUUCUCCCCAGACUACUCCCCAGCCAGAGUUACCUUCUCCCCAGACUACUCCCCAGCCAGAGUUACCUUCUCCCCAGACUACUCCCCAGCCAGUUACCUUCUCCCCAGACUACUCCCCAGCCAGAGUUACCUUCUCCCCAGACUACUCCCCAGCCAGAGUUACCUUCUCCCCAGACUACUCCCCAGCCAGAGUUACCUUCUCCCCAGACUACUCCCCAGCCAGAGUUACCAUCUCCCCAGACUACUACCCAGCCAGAGUUAGCUUCUCCCCAGCGAGUUACCUUCACCCCAGAUUACUCCCCAGCCAGAGUUACCUUCUCCCCAGACUACUCCCCAGCCAGUUACCUUCUCCCCAGACUACUCCCCAGCCAGAGUUACCUUCUCCCCAGACUACUCCCCAGCCAGAGUUACCUUCUCCCCAGACUACUCCCCAUCCAGAGUUACCUUCUCCCCAGACUACUCCCCAGCCAGAGUUACCAUCUCCACAGACUACUACCCAGCCAGAGUUAG